Long non-coding RNA from Prosopis cineraria, 2612 nucleotides. RefSeq lists it as uncharacterized. The record is from RefSeq and is a predicted model, not a curated record. The transcript is spliced from 4 exons. Lineage: Eukaryota; Viridiplantae; Streptophyta; Magnoliopsida; Fabales; Fabaceae.
GGGAGUUUCACUGUUCCUCUUCCCUCUGUGUUCGUUGGCCGGUGACCGUGGGUGCGCCUGUCGCCGCCGUCGCUGGAGAUCGAAGGUGCGCCAGAUUUUCUCCCUUUUUGCUCUUCUUCUCUGCUUUGCGUCAUCUUCUUGGUUCUCGCUUCUUCCUCGACGUUCCUCCGUCUUCUUCCUUUCGGUGGCCGAUGGGUCGUUGAUAUCUUCCUCCCUCUCCACUGUCAUGUUGCAGCGUUCUUUUUUUUUUUUUUCUUUCUUUCUUUCUUCCUGCUCUGGUGCCACUGACCUAUUGUGGAAUGUUCAUGCAUUUGGGAAAGCUUCGAUCCUCUCAUUCCAUCUCUCAUUUGCUACACAGGUGAAGGAAUCCUCACUUCUCCUCCUUGUCCAGUUUGAGCAUGGGUAUGAUUGGGUGGCUGAAUUUUUUUUCCCUUUUUCCCCUCCAUUUGUGUUAGCUGCCGUGCAUGGGUAAGGGAGAAGAUGAUGUCUAAGCAAGCUUACAUUGAGGGCUAAGAAGUUUAGAUCGCACUUGCAACUUCCGCAUGUGCACUUUGGCUACGGUGCUAUUGUGAGCAUCUCGUCCUAAAGACUUUUCAGUUUGGUAUAAUAUGCCGAGACAGAUUGGUUGUCUUUCUUCAACAAAGCAAUCGUACGUCGCAGCUCAUAAAUUCUUGGCGAGCUUUCCUUCCUGAAACGCUCUUCCAAGUCUACCCAGAUUUCUCGUGCCGUCUUGGCAUAUCGAACACUGGUUCUCACCUCUUUAUCAAUAGAGCUCUUCAACCAACCUUUCACCAUAGCAUUGCACCUCAUCUAGUGUGUGAGGUUCGGUGAAUCAGUUGAAGGCGCUGAUGGGGUUCCGUCAACGAAACCAAAUUUGUUCUUGCCAUAAAAGGGUGUUGCUCAUGUCAUUUACCCACUCGCCAGAGUUGUCGUCACUUAGCAACUCACUAACGAAGAUCUGGCCCGGGUUGUCAGAAGGAUGAAGAAAGAAUGGUGACUUUGAAUCGACCACUCCACUCUUUUCAAUCUCUGCUCCGUCCGUCUUCUCAAAUCCAAAUGAGGUCAUGAUUCUAUAAUUAAUAUACAGAUAUAGUAUUGUUAAUAUACAAUAUUAUGGGACCCACGUGAUUGGUGGAGGAGAGAAUCCAUGUGAUGCAUGCAAGGCCAUGCGAGAUUUACAUAACAGAUGCAGCAGUUUUCUUCUUCAAGUUUCGACAAUCACAAUUCUCUCGUAAUCCCUAUUCGACUAUCACGUUCAUCGGGACGUCUUCUCGUUCGUGAGAUUUCUUCCUCAGAUUCACAGUCACGAUGAAGCAGGUGGCAAUGAUCGCGACAUACCAUUGCUUCCCCGAGAUAUCAUCACAGAAAUUCUCUAAAGACUUCCUGUAAAAUCCCUUAUGCGAUUUCGCUGUGUGCGCAAAGAUUGGAAAAACCUCCUCAAAAACCCAUCUUUCAUCGCAGCCCACCUCCACUGCUCCAGUAAUCAAAACCCUUCUCUUAUGUUCACUCGAUUUGAUGGACAUCAUUAUACGCUCUUUGAUUUGCUCGAUUGCAGUAUGCAAUUCCUUGAAGUUCAGAACGCACCUGCGAUCGAAUGGGCUUGGGAUAGGAUCGUCAGUUCCUGCAAUGGCUUGUUCUGCUUUCAAAUUCCUAAUUAGGGUACGACUCCCGUUACUCCUCCUUCCUAUUUAUUGUGGAAUCCGGCAACUAGAGAGGUUAGACAGGUGCCCAGACCUCUUACUUAUUCUGACGGUCAUUUCUUUAUCGUAUUAGGCUUCAGUCCUGUUGUUAAUCAUUCCAAGAUUGUGACAAAUUAUGGAGCUCGGUUUUCUCAUGAGGUUAAUCCAGUGAAACUGUAUUCCUUAAGUACAGGAUCAUGGGAGGGAAUAGAAUUUGGGAACAUGGAGGGCGUAAUUUUCAGGAUUGAACCUAUAACUGUUACUGGAAUUAUCUUCUGGCUGGCAACAAAGCAAGUUGUGAAGGGUGAAGAUGGAGAUGAUGAUACUCAUUUGAUAGUUUCAUUUGACAUAGCAAUGGAAGUGUUUACAUUAAUACAAGUUCCUGCAUUAGUCUGGCCUACGCUUACUGUGUACCAGGACAAACUUGCUCUGCUUUAUGCAACUCUAAGUGGAAAUUUCAAAUCUUCUUUUGUUGAUUUGUGGGUGAUGGAGAAGGAUACAGGUGCAUUUGAGGGGAUGUGCAGUUGAGCUAAGAAAUAUACUAGUGACACUCAUCCAUGCUUCUUAUCUCCGUUUACUAUUUGGAGAAGACAAAUUGUGUGCAAUGUUGUAAAGCCUGUACACGUUGUUGGAGCUGAUGGUGAAGAGAAGAAUGUUGAACCAACAAAUUUUCUAUAUCUAUUCAAUCUCACCGCUAAUGAAUUUAAGAUGUUUCCUACUGGCAGGUGGUCCAAGAGGAUGAUAUUUUUAGUUAUACUGAGAGCCUAGUACCAUUGGACAACAACCAUGUUGAAGAGUUAGGUAUUAAUUUGCAUAUAUAUUUUGCUUAUGCAAUUUUGGUGUAAAUGAACUCAACAGUCAGAUCAUUCUGUACCCAAAACCAUUUUGGCCCUUUAGAUAUGUUGUCUAUAUAUUUAAGAAUUAUAAAAAUGU